GAUUUCUGGCGCAGGUUGCCUGUCCCGGCCUUUCGGGGCUGUGUUGAUGGGUUGACCUGUCCAUCCUUCUAGAAAACAGUUCUACCCUUUACUGGUGUGGGGCUGCAAUCUAGAUCUUUUACUUUGAAAAAAUUAGAGUGUUCAAAGCAGGCUUACCGCUGUGAAUACAUUAGCAUGGAAUAAUAAGAUAGGACUUUGGUUCUAUUUUGUUGGUUUCUAGGACUGAAGUAAUGAUUGAUAGGGAUAGUUGGGGGUGCUAGUAUUCAGCGGCCAGAGGUGAAAUUCUUGGAUUCGCUGAAGACUAACUUAUGCGAAAGCAUU
This 321-nucleotide ribosomal RNA is filed under the name Ventricleftida sp. Its description in RNAcentral is "SSU rRNA". The stretch from base 103 to 321 matches the Rfam family "Eukaryotic small subunit ribosomal RNA", at positions 736 to 955 of the family's 1831-position model. Lineage: Eukaryota; Cercozoa; Thecofilosea; Ventricleftida. The record is from RNAcentral.